This is a long non-coding RNA of Onychostoma macrolepis, 539 nucleotides long. RefSeq lists it as uncharacterized. The transcript is spliced from 4 exons. The record is from RefSeq and is a predicted model, not a curated record. NCBI's taxonomy places the organism in Eukaryota, Metazoa, Chordata, Actinopteri, Cypriniformes, Cyprinidae.
GCCAGCCAGGGUGGAACCAGAGAAACACAGUCAAGGAGAGCAUGAAGCACUUCAAGCAGAAGAAAGGAACUCAUACAGGUUUGGAACAACUUAAGAGAGAUCGUGGAAUGGAGACGGAAGACAGCAUACACCUCUUUGAGUAAUGGUAAUAUACAAAAGGAGAUGACAACAGAAGCAGACGUUGGGAUGGCGCAGAGGAGAACAAACUGGAGGAGAGACAGAAGGUCUGUAAACAAGCAAAUUAUUCUCCAGUGUAGCUCCAGUGAAUCUCUCACGUUGAUCCCUCUCGUUCAAGGACUCCAGCUUCAGCAAACCUGCAAGGACACAGACUGUCAUUAUUCAGCAACUCUUUCACAGGACUGGUUUCAGUAUUCUCACUCAACUGCCAUUGCUCUCCAUGAUCUCCCAUCCCCUGCUUUUCAAUAAACCUGCCUGUUGAUCACUUGUUGUUUCUGGCCCUGUUUGUGACAGUAGUAAGGAACCAUAUUUACAUGAUAUUUUGAGAGGAAGUGUUUGCUAUACUAUGCUAUAACUUCAGU